GAAAGAAAAUUUCUUGUGAGUGUAAUAAUAUAUUAUUACCUAUCUGGAUAUCAAUUCAGUUCUAAUAACACGUGUUGGUGUAUGUACAUUGUACACGUAUGUAGCAGACGUUGGGGACCGCAGCCACGCAGCAAUAAUUUUGAAUAAUACUAUUAGAUUUAAUUUUGAUUUCCUGUCAUCGCAUUCGCGCUCAAACAGAAUAAUUACUAUUUACUAUUAUUUUACAAUCACGUGUGACGUCAUAUCACGACCGCGGGUGCGGUGCAACAGGCAACUAUAUAGCCGCUGUCGCGAGCCGCCGUCAUCGUUACCUGUAUCCUGGUGAAGAGUCCUGGAACAUUAAAUUCUAACACACCUUGAACGAGUGAUGUAUACAAGUAUUUGCGUGUACACUGUACACAGGGGUGAAUCAAAUGAGUAUAAUGUUGGAUCAAUAGUGCCCGAAUCAACAAGAUGCACACUUGUACAGGAAAGACUGGAUGACGGCAGCUAUCUAAUAUUAUGAGUACCUACCGUCUAAAAAGAACAUCUAGUUGAAAAAAUAAGCUCAACAAGAAAAUCAACAAAACAAGGUGAGAAGUGGGUACCGAUCUGCUGUAAAGUAGGUAUCGAGUGGGUUGCUGUAAUGGAUGUGUUUAACUUGAAUUCAGUGAUUUAAUAUCAUUGUAUCAACUUAUUUUACUCAUAGGUAUUACAGGCAGGUUGAUUAAUUUUUUUCCAAAAACAUUGCAUUUAUUUUACUAAUUAGUAUUUAAUUAUUACAAUAGAGUAUAUUUCUAUCAUGCUACAUAAUUUGUAUUUAUUAACUUUUGAAGCAAUACCAGUUUAACAUAGAAAAGUAUGAAUAUGUUCAUGGACUCUUGGUAUAAAUAGGUAAUGAGCUUAAAAUUAAUCUAAUUAAUCUAAAAUAUUUUGAAAAUAUAAUUCUAUAUAGUAAAAUUUAUAAAAUUCGUAAACGUUUUAAGACUUCAAGAAGAAUGUUUUUGAAUUACAGCACAAUGACUAAUAUCGUUAUUUUUUUU
This is a long non-coding RNA of Myzus persicae (green peach aphid), 1022 nucleotides long. RefSeq lists it as uncharacterized. The record is from RefSeq and is a predicted model, not a curated record. The transcript has 3 exons. Lineage: Eukaryota; Metazoa; Arthropoda; Insecta; Hemiptera; Aphididae.